UGACCUUCGGAUCAGUAGGUACCCCAGUACGGAUACCCGCUGAACUUACGCAUAUCAAUAACCGAAGGAAAA
This 72-nucleotide ribosomal RNA is filed under the name Aureobasidium sp. C5. RNAcentral describes it as "partial 28S ribosomal RNA". Lineage: Eukaryota; Fungi; Ascomycota; Dothideomycetes; Dothideales; Saccotheciaceae. The record is from RNAcentral.